RNAcentral lists this transfer RNA (63 nucleotides) under Ixodes fecialis. RNAcentral describes it as "tRNA-Thr". Lineage: Eukaryota; Metazoa; Arthropoda; Arachnida; Ixodida; Ixodidae. The record is from RNAcentral.
GCAUUAAUAAUUUAAUUCUAAAAUAUUGGUUUUGUAAACCAGAAAUGAUUUUCUCUUAAAGCA